This 403-nucleotide ribosomal RNA is filed under the name uncultured bacterium. Its description in RNAcentral is "partial 16S ribosomal RNA". It matches the Rfam family "Bacterial small subunit ribosomal RNA", at positions 30 to 526 of the family's 1533-position model. The record is from RNAcentral.
AUUGAACGCUGGCGGCAGGCCUAACACAUGCAAGUCGAGCGAGCGGCGGACGGGUGAGUAAUGUAUGGGGACUGCCCGAUAGAGGGGGAUAACUACUGGAAACGGUAGCUAAUACCGCAUACUAUCGGAUAACCCAUAUGGGAUUAGCUAGUAGGUGAGGUAAUGGCUCACCUAGGCGACGAUCCCUAGCUGGUCUGAGAGGAUGAUCAGCAACACUGUGGCUGAGACACGACCCGAACUCCUACGGAGGCAGCAGUGGGGAAGAGUGCACAAUGGGGGCAAGCCUGAUGCAGCCAUGCCGCGGGUAUGAAGAAGGCCCUAGGGUUGUAAAGUACUUUCAGUCGGGAGCCGUUACCGACAGAAGAAGCACCGGCUAACUCCGUGCCAGCAGACGCGGUAAUAC